Molecule: unclassified non-coding RNA, 265 nt
Filed under: Tamarix androssowii
Lineage: Eukaryota; Viridiplantae; Streptophyta; Magnoliopsida; Caryophyllales; Tamaricaceae
Description: ITS1
Source: RNAcentral
UCGAAACCUGCCCAGCAGAACCACCGGCGCACUUGUCACCGAAACACGGGGGAUGCAGGCCGGUCCUGCUCCUCCUCUGCGGCGCGGUCGGGGCUCCUGACGUGGCCCUCUACCGAGUAGGGGCACCGGCAGGAGAACCGGCCCUCCGUCCCAACAUCAUCCGGCGCGGAAUGCGUCAAGGAAUAAGAAUGUGAAAACACGCCCUCCGUUYGCCCUCGAAUAUUCGACGGAACGGAGCGGCCGUGUGUCGUAUUAACAAAAACGA